This 1550-nucleotide ribosomal RNA is filed under the name Klebsiella variicola. RNAcentral describes it as "bacterial SSU rRNA". It matches the Rfam family "Bacterial small subunit ribosomal RNA". Lineage: Bacteria; Pseudomonadati; Pseudomonadota; Gammaproteobacteria; Enterobacterales; Enterobacteriaceae. The record is from RNAcentral.
AAAUUGAAGAGUUUGAUCAUGGCUCAGAUUGAACGCUGGCGGCAGGCCUAACACAUGCAAGUCGAGCGGUAGCACAGAGAGCUUGCUCUCGGGUGACGAGCGGCGGACGGGUGAGUAAUGUCUGGGAAACUGCCUGAUGGAGGGGGAUAACUACUGGAAACGGUAGCUAAUACCGCAUAACGUCGCAAGACCAAAGUGGGGGACCUUCGGGCCUCAUGCCAUCAGAUGUGCCCAGAUGGGAUUAGCUGGUAGGUGGGGUAACGGCUCACCUAGGCGACGAUCCCUAGCUGGUCUGAGAGGAUGACCAGCCACACUGGAACUGAGACACGGUCCAGACUCCUACGGGAGGCAGCAGUGGGGAAUAUUGCACAAUGGGCGCAAGCCUGAUGCAGCCAUGCCGCGUGUGUGAAGAAGGCCUUCGGGUUGUAAAGCACUUUCAGCGGGGAGGAAGGCGAUAAGGUUAAUAACCUUGUCGAUUGACGUUACCCGCAGAAGAAGCACCGGCUAACUCCGUGCCAGCAGCCGCGGUAAUACGGAGGGUGCAAGCGUUAAUCGGAAUUACUGGGCGUAAAGCGCACGCAGGCGGUCUGUCAAGUCGGAUGUGAAAUCCCCGGGCUCAACCUGGGAACUGCAUUCGAAACUGGCAGGCUAGAGUCUUGUAGAGGGGGGUAGAAUUCCAGGUGUAGCGGUGAAAUGCGUAGAGAUCUGGAGGAAUACCGGUGGCGAAGGCGGCCCCCUGGACAAAGACUGACGCUCAGGUGCGAAAGCGUGGGGAGCAAACAGGAUUAGAUACCCUGGUAGUCCACGCUGUAAACGAUGUCGAUUUGGAGGUUGUGCCCUUGAGGCGUGGCUUCCGGAGCUAACGCGUUAAAUCGACCGCCUGGGGAGUACGGCCGCAAGGUUAAAACUCAAAUGAAUUGACGGGGGCCCGCACAAGCGGUGGAGCAUGUGGUUUAAUUCGAUGCAACGCGAAGAACCUUACCUGGUCUUGACAUCCACAGAACUUUCCAGAGAUGGAUUGGUGCCUUCGGGAACUGUGAGACAGGUGCUGCAUGGCUGUCGUCAGCUCGUGUUGUGAAAUGUUGGGUUAAGUCCCGCAACGAGCGCAACCCUUAUCCUUUGUUGCCAGCGGUUAGGCCGGGAACUCAAAGGAGACUGCCAGUGAUAAACUGGAGGAAGGUGGGGAUGACGUCAAGUCAUCAUGGCCCUUACGACCAGGGCUACACACGUGCUACAAUGGCAUAUACAAAGAGAAGCGACCUCGCGAGAGCAAGCGGACCUCAUAAAGUAUGUCGUAGUCCGGAUUGGAGUCUGCAACUCGACUCCAUGAAGUCGGAAUCGCUAGUAAUCGUAGAUCAGAAUGCUACGGUGAAUACGUUCCCGGGCCUUGUACACACCGCCCGUCACACCAUGGGAGUGGGUUGCAAAAGAAGUAGGUAGCUUAACCUUCGGGAGGGCGCUUACCACUUUGUGAUUCAUGACUGGGGUGAAGUCGUAACAAGGUAACCGUAGGGGAACCUGCGGUUGGAUCACCUCCUUACCUUAAAGAA